GACGAACGCUGGCGGCGUGCCUAAUACAUGCAAGUCGAACGCAGUGGGGACGGGUGAGUAACACGUGGGUAACCUCCCAUCAGAGGGGAUAACACUUGGAAACAGGUGCUAAACCGAUACUGAUGGAUGGACCCGCGGGGCAUUAGGGAGUUGGUGCGGUAACUGCUCAACAAGGCCACGAUGCAUAGCCGACCUGAGAGGGUGAUCGGCCACACUGGCACCGAAACAGGGCCCAGACUCCUACGGGAGGCAGCAGGAGGGAAUCUUCGGCAAUGGAGGAAAGUCUGACCGAGCAACGCCGCGUGAGUGAAGAAGGUUUUCGUAUCGUAAAACUCUGUUGUUAGAGAAGCGGUAUCUAACCAGAAAGCCACGGCUAACUACGUGUCAGCAGCCGCGUUAAUAC
RNAcentral lists this ribosomal RNA (403 nucleotides) under uncultured bacterium. RNAcentral's name for it is "partial 16S ribosomal RNA". It matches the Rfam family "Bacterial small subunit ribosomal RNA", at positions 28 to 526 of the family's 1533-position model. The record is from RNAcentral.